This 463-nucleotide long non-coding RNA is filed under the name Zostera marina. Its description in RNAcentral is "long non-coding RNA (ZMAR_LNC002054)". Lineage: Eukaryota; Viridiplantae; Streptophyta; Magnoliopsida; Alismatales; Zosteraceae. The record is from RNAcentral.
AUUCAACAUCUAGAAACUUGAUUAUCAGAUAUUCAUGAUCACAAGGUCGGUGGGUUUGAAUUCAAUGUAUCCAGCUUAAUUUGAAACUUGUGAUUUCAGUGCAAAAUCUCAACUGUUCAUAUUUAAUUAGUUCCUGCUUGAUUUAGUUUAGGACCACACUAAAAGAUGUUGACUUUGAAAUUAGGUUUAGGAUCAACGGAAGAGACAGUCUCUUGAAUCCAACCUUGAGGCCGGGAAGGCAUUCAUCUAACUCUUCGUCAGUGUAUGGCACUUGUUGGAAAUCAAGGUCGGGGAAGACGCGACCAGACAUGUGAAUACAAUGAUGAAAUUCUUCAGUCAGGUAGAACUGUUGAGAAGCCUAGAGUUUGGUGAGAAGUUGAGUAUUCACGUUUGUAAGUUGAGCAUUGGAAUCCUAGCCUUACUAGCACAAAGGUCGGUGAGCAAUUGAGCAUUCACAGAUGUA